RNAcentral lists this ribosomal RNA (233 nucleotides) under uncultured bacterium. RNAcentral describes it as "partial 16S ribosomal RNA". It matches the Rfam family "Bacterial small subunit ribosomal RNA", at positions 100 to 334 of the family's 1533-position model. The record is from RNAcentral.
CGGGACGGGUGAGUAAUGUCUAGGGAACGUCCCGAUGGAGGGGGAUAACUACUGGAAACGGUAGCUAAUACCGCAUAACGUCGCAAGACCAAAGAGGGGGACCUUCGGGCCUCUUGCCAUCGGAUGUGCCCAGAUGGGAUUAGCUAGUAGGUGGGGUAACGGCUCACCUAGGCGACGAUCCCUAGCUGGUCUGAGAGGAUGACCAGCCACACUGGAACUGAGACACGGUCCAG